RNAcentral lists this unclassified non-coding RNA (335 nucleotides) under soil metagenome. Its description in RNAcentral is "partial contains 5.8S ribosomal RNA, internal transcribed spacer 2, and large subunit ribosomal RNA". The stretch from base 1 to 120 matches the Rfam family "5.8S ribosomal RNA", at positions 35 to 154 of the family's 154-position model. The record is from RNAcentral.
GAUGAAGAACGUAGCAAAAUGCGAUAAGUAAUGUGAAUUGCAGAAUUCAGUGAAUCAUCGAAUCUUUGAACGCACAUUGCGCCCGCCAGUAUUCUGGCGGGCAUGCCUGUUCGAGCGUCAUUUCAACCCUCAAGCCCCCGGCUUGUGUUGGGGACCUGCGGCUGCCGCAGGCCCUGAAAACCAGUGGCGGGCUCGCUAGUCACUCCGAGCGUAGUAAUACAUCUCGCUCAGGGCGUGCUGCGGGUUCCGGCCGUUAAAAAGCCUUAUUUACCCAAGGUUGACCUCGGAUCAGGUAGGAAGACCCGCUGAACUUAAGCAUAUCAAUAAGCGGAGGA